This is an RNA transcript of Labeo rohita (rohu), 7158 nucleotides long. It is a transcript of the gene named BCL2 like 16, with no coding region annotated. The record is from RefSeq and is a predicted model, not a curated record. Lineage: Eukaryota; Metazoa; Chordata; Actinopteri; Cypriniformes; Cyprinidae. The transcript is spliced from 4 exons.
GUUACAGACAAGGGAACUAAAUAUAGUCUGAGCCGGGCAACAACAUGCACAUGUAAAUCUCACAGACGUUGGCUCACUCUAUAGAAUCUCCAGUUGUACACUGUCCUUCUGUCAGCUGUUAACUAAUCGUGAUUGUUUGGUUGUGGCAUGAUUCACGUCUGCGCAAGAAGGGUGGACCAAGACUGAUAUGACUCUGGACCAACAGUUCACUGAGUGUGGAUGACCAGUGACAGUUUAUGUAUGAUCCAUGGCAUGGAAUGUGACAUAAACACCUAAAAUGAGUGGGUACUACAGAGAUACAAAGAUUUGACAUUGACAUUGUAGUUUUACCUGCCUUUUGAGGGCAGACUGUUGUAAUUUAAGGUCAUGGGACUGUCAGAUAAAUCUGUGAUUGGCCGAGGCCUGAACAGUCCUGACCCAUUGGUGCGUGAGGCAUACCUGAUGGCAUAUGACUAUAUCAACUAUGUGACGGCCAAACCAGGCAUCCCGGUGGGUCCAGCACCAUCCCGUGCAACGGCCGCCCUGCGUCACGCUGGAGAUGAACUGCUCACUCGCUUCCCCAUCUUCUUUCGCCGCUGGCCACGUGUUUUCCAGGACGUGACGGACCGAACGGCCUGCUCGACCCUCGUUUCCAUUCUGGAUGAGCACUUUGCACCCACACGACGUAGAGACCUCGCCUGGAGCGCUGUGCUGUCCGUGUUUGUUCUUUCUGGACAGCUGGCACUGCAUUGCCAGGAGCGGGGCAUGUCUGAUAUCCUGCCACAGAUUCAGGAGUGCGUGGGCAGCUACGUUGAGAGGGUCAUCUGCCCGGAGAUCAGAGACAGAGGAGGAUGGUCUCUCCAGGGAAGUGCUGGCAGGAUAUGAGCUCUGAUGGUAAUGCAAGUGGACUGUCCCACCCCCUCUGCUCUUCUCUGCAGUCAAUGCUGAUGAGGCCCUGGAGACGUGGACAGAAGAACACAGAUGUAUGCAGAUAUAGUCACUGAUGCAGUGAUACACAAGACUGGAGAUAAAUAGCAUGCUGGUGAAACUGGUUUUUCUUACUGUAAAGUGCAAUCGCUCUGAUGCAUCGAGGCAUGGGCUCCACAAGACAUCCGAAAUGGUCCAGGGAUCUCUGAGACAAGACAGUCUGCAACAAUCUUUAGGUAGGUGUAUUCAGAUUAAAGGCAUUCUGAUUUUACUCUAAACAAAAUUAGGGUUGCUGAACUUACCUUGUUAAUUUACUGUUGUGACAUGAGCCACAUUUACCACUGUGGUGGCUCAAACAGUGACGUGUAGAUGUAGAGAGUCAUGCACAACAUAAAACAGAGAAGAGCGAUGUUAGAAUCAUUUGUUUUUAAAAUAACUGCUCACAAAAUACAAAGAAAACAAAACUACUGUCAUUAUUUGUCUGUUUGUCUGUCUACAUUUAUGCCUUAUAUUUACACAUUUGCAUUUAGCAGAUGCUUUUAUCCAAAGCGACCUAGAGGAGCAUGAACAAUGUAUAACAGAGGCAAUAAUAUUCACAGUAUACAAUGAAAGUUAAUUAGAAAGCUAGAUUGGUGGCAAUGCAUGUUGCAAAUAUUGUUGGCUCUGUGACAUGUAAGGCAUAAAUGUAAAUGUAAAGCAUAAAUGUAGACACUAUCUCUCUAUCUACAAGCAACCAUGUGCAAUGUUACUGAACUUACGGUGUUAAUUUAUUGGUGUUUAUUGGUGUCACUCACUGAGGUGACUCUAACAGCAGCAUGUGGACAGGAAGAGUAAUGCACAACAGAGGUUGUUAAGAAAUAUGGUUCUGUAUGUUUCUGUAAUAUUAAUUUCAGCAUUAUUGUAUGUACAUCUGCAGGGUUGCCAACACUGAAGUUCAGUUUGGAGUGAGAUUUUUUUGUUUUUUGUUUUGGAGUGUGGGGUUGGGUUGGGGGUGGCGAUCUCGAUUCCAUAUCUAUUUAUAUGUAUACACUGUACAUAUAAGGGGAUAAAAAUGCACCUAAGUGCUUUUUUUAAAGCACCAUUUUAAAGUUGGUUUAAAAUCCAUAUUUGCUUGCAUUCAUUGUGUGUACUUAUGAGUAUCAUUAAAAAAAGAAUGUAAGUUAUUAACUUUUUAAAUUUCACAUUUAAAAAUAUAGUGUUUAAUCAUUUCUAAAUAUUUAUUCAAAUGAAAAACUUAAAAAUAAGUAAGCAGGUAUGACCUGCAAUAUUCUAGAUACACAUAUAUUUAGUAAAGAGCCAUACAGGUACCUAGUGGGUAAACCAUGGCAUUACAAAUGAAAAUGAUGUUUUUCCCCGAUCACAAAAUGACUCUAAUUUGCCUCUUUGCAUUGGAAUUUAAAACCCUUUUCUCUAUUUAAGCUUAAAUACUACACUAAUUGUAAUAUAAGUUAUAGAAAUAUAAAAUAAUAUAUAUAUUUUAAGUCAUUAAUGGACCAUAUUUAUUAGACAAAUAGUAUUUAGUACUAAAUGAUCUCCUUAAAAUAUUAAAAAUUAUUGAACUAAAAUAUAGAACUUUUUUUUUAAUUGAAAAAUAGUUAAGCUGUAUGGUCACAUAAUAAGUAAGCAAUACCUGAGGGUCAAAUACAAGAAAACCAUAUUAAUCUUACGAAAAUUAACCAUGGUUUUAUUAUAGUAAAAGUGUAGUAACCAUUUUUUGGCGCAUUGAUUACCAUUUGUAUAACCAUAGUUUUACUACAAAUACCAUGGUUAAACUAUGGUUAGUGUAGCAAGACCAUGGGUAAUUUGUGGUUACCAUGGUUUAAAUAGUAACCAUGUUGUUGUUGUUUUUUGUUUUUUUGUUUUGUUUUGUUUGUAGUUUUGUAGUAAAACCAUGGUCGAUUUUCGUAAGGGUUGCCUCUCCAUCACUCUCUAGAAUAAAAUUGUACUGUAAAUGUCAUCGACGUAAAAAUCAAUGCAUAAUAUACUGUAAUGUUUACCAAAUUUGCUGCAAAUACCUGUAUAGUGAAGCUGUCGUCUCUAAUGUUGGUUUGUUUGGAGAGCUCUGUGAAUCACGCGACCGCGUGGUGGCGAUGCUUAAAAAUUCCUAUUUUAAGUGCAAGUAUUAGCAUUAUAAAUGCUGAAUUAAUACGAACAUGUAAAAUUAAAUUAAGGACAUGCAUCAAAAAAUUGGUAAUGUUAGACAAUAAAUAUAUAUAACAGCUUCGCAGUAAACUGUUUUUGCAGUGUUGUCUUAUAUUAAUGUCCGUUAAAGGGGUCAUCGGAUGCUAAGUUCAUGUUGUUUGAACAUUAAUGUGUGUUGGCAGUGUAUGUACAAAUGUACCCUAUAAUGAUAAAAAUCCAUGCAGUGGUUUUUUAAUUAAUCUGUAAAUAUAAUAUUCCCUUUUUCAAAUCAAGCCAUUCUCAGAUGCCUGUCGGUGUGGCGUCACAUCCACAGAGGCCGCUCCCACGAUAGUUGAUUGACAUGAGCGUCUUACCUCAGAUCAGCUGUAACAGUCCGACCUUCAUUGUUUUAAUGCCAGAGCAGGGAUGUAAAUUAGACAAGAAUAUCUCCGAUUGACAGUUGAGAUGUUGUGUUGCUGGAUGUAAUAAUGAACAUAGUGGUUGUCAUUUACUCCCGACAUCUGAGCUGCUGAAGAUGCAGUAGAUUACGUUUGUUUGUGAAGGGAAUGGGCCUCCCGAUCUACAUAUAUCCGUCUAUGUUCGCGUGAAUCAUUCAUGAUCCAGCUUCACUUACAGCAGGAGUGAGUAUAAGGGUUUUUUUAUGAAUCUUUGCGAUCGCCUUUCCUAAUAACGUGCUAGUUAGCAAGUUUAGCGGCUAAAUGCGGCUAAAGUAAACAGGCUCGUCAGUCCACAGAGAGAAGAGAGGGGCAGGGCGAGCAGAACUCAUUAACAUUUAAAGCAGCCUCGACCAGAAUGGGUUGAUUUUUGCAGAGCUCAUUUUGACAAGGUAAAAAGGGUGUUGUUUUACACUACCAUUGAGAAUUUUUAACCAAAGUAUAUUAGAGACUUUUCAUUAAGACCCUAAAGAAUCAUAUCAACGUGUGGAAAAUGGGCAUCCGAUGACCCCUUUAAAGCAUGACUGUAAUUCUGUAAACAAAAAAUUGUUGAUGUAAAAAAAAUAAAGACAUAGCCACUGUCUCCAAAAUGAUUUAUUCAGUUAUGACAGACACAGCAAUGCAUCAUGUUCUGCAAGAUCAUCAUGUUUGUAGUGUGUUCCAGGGAAUUAAAAUGUAGCCUACAAUAUAAUACGAUAUAAUAUUAAUACAAUAUAUAUUUCAGACCUAUAAUAGUAACUAAUAAUAAUGACAGUAAUGUGUAAGGCUGCAUAAAAUGAAAAUAUUCAAUAAAACAGGCUAAAACUGCCUCAAUGUAUAAUUAAUGGUUGGAUUCCAGAACUGAUAACAUAAAACACAUAUAAUAAUACAAUACAACAUUUACUGUAGUAGUCAUAAAAUUUACUGAUUUGAGAAAUUUUGUAUUGCCCUUCAGAUUUGGCAGUGAGAUUCGCCAAUUUUGACAUCUCUUUCGUUGUCAUUCUGUCUGCUUCUGUGCUGUUGUCCAGUUGGCAUUUUCACCCCAAAAUGGCGGACGAAGCACCACCUAGUGGCUGUUACCAAAAAAUCAUCAGAGUUUUGCCUCUUGGUAUUCUAUACUCAAGUUCCAGGCACUGAUAUAGACAUUCAGUGAUACAACUUUUUUUUUUAAUAUCAUGUGUGUUUUGUAUUGGCCUCUUUAAAUGAAUAUUAUUCUAUCAAACAGCUAUAUACUCAAGUCAUGCCUGGCAACUGACAAAUUUCUAUUCAAUAUCAUUAGAAUACAUAACAAUUAAGGUAAUAAUUAACAAUAAAUAAGCAUUUUGGAGACCACAGAUUUAUUAGCAAACUAAUGAGGCCUAUGUAAAACAGUGGAGAUACUAUAGGUGUAUUAUGGUUUUACACAUGAAUUUCAAAACAUCUUUCUUCAUGUUUUACACUGCACAAAAUUUACCUGAGGGUUAACAAUGAAUCCUGUGUAUUUAUAAUGUGACACUAAUGCACUGUGUGUUUUUACACCUUUCUAGCCAUCACUAUUUGGCCCUUGGCCCAUGUUAAAGGCAUUUGGUUUAGAAUUGACCACAGAUAUCAAAAUAUGUGUUAUAUUAGUAUGUUACUGAAAUCUUCUUUUAAUGAAAUGCUGUCAUGUGAGUAUAAAUAUAUAUCACACCUGCCUUUCUUGAACCCCAUAUGACUGACUCAGAUUACAUUUAUUCUCUGUGUUACAGACUAACUACCAUUCAAAAGUUUGGGGUCAGUAAGACUUUUAGCACUGAAGACUGGAGUAAUUCAGAUUUGAUCACAGAAAUAAAUCACAUUUUAAAAUAUAUUAAAAUGGAGAACAGUUCUUUUAAACUGUAAUAAUAUCACUCGUUUUACUGUAAUUUUUAAACAUAAUAAAAAUGUAUCUGCCCUAUACCUUUGAACAGUUAUGUAUUUAACUCUAAAAUGAACUAAAUAACAAGUUGUUUUCCUAGCACAGAGAGGAAUGCUAUUAAUGGCAAAAUAAAUAACAUAUUUAAAUACAAUACUCAUGUCUGCUUUUGUUGCCAAAUCCAUUACAAAGGAUAAUCUUACAAUUAUAUUGGCCUUUCAGUGGAUCAGCAGGCUUCAGGGCUGAUAUCUGCUCUCAGCAGCUGUUGUGUGAUUAGAGCUUAUGAAAAUAACAAACCUGUUGACAUAAACUAGACAAGUAUGUUGAGCUCAUGUACGUGUGCUAUAGAAAUAGCACUGUCAGUCAGAUUCACUAUAGAAAUCAGUGGAUGCUGUGUACUCUCAUUUUUACUUAAAGCUCACGUGAUAUUGUUCAAAAUUGAAAUUUCAGAUGAAAGUGGUCAUAAAAAUUUUCACUUAGUGGGAAAAGAUAAUACCAAUUAAAUCUGCUGCAAUGUUGCUUUUACAGUAAUUUUUGAGAUACUCAGUCACCAUGUGAUGAGUUUUAAAUGACAACAUAAUGGUAAAAUUAGACAUUUUAAUAAUAAUUGCAGCAAGAUUUUACUAUAAUUUGAAAGGAACACAACAAGAUGAAAGAAGAAAUCACCUAUUUACAGACAACAGGGCAUGAUGCUAUUGCUAACCUAAAGGGAUAGUCCACCCAAAAAAAUGAAAAUUCUGUCAUUAAUUACUCACCCUCAUGUUGUUCCAAACCUGUAAGACCUUCGUUCAUGUUCUGAACACACACUUUGUCUUACCCAUAGACAGCAACUGACACGCUCAAGGCCCAGAAAGGUAGUAAGGACAUCGUUAAAAUAGUCCAUAUGACAUCAGUGGUUCAACUGUAAUAUUAUGAAGCAACGAGAAUACUCUUUGUGCACAGAGAAAACAAAAAUAACCACUUUAUUCAACCAUUUCUUCUCUUCUGUGUCAGUCUUCGAAACUCACAGGCUGUCGUUGUUGCAUCACACCCACAGAGGCCACUCCCACGAUAGUUGAUUGACAUGAGCGUCUUACCUGAGAUCAGUUGUAACAGUCCAACCUCCAUGUUUUGAUGCUGGAGCAGGGAUGUAAGUUAGACAAGAAUUGAGCGAUUGAGGUGUUGUGUUCCUGGAUGUAAUAAUGAACAUAGUGGUUGUCAUUUACUCCCAACAUCUGAGCCGCUGAAGAUGCAGUAGAUUACGUUUGUUUGUGAAGGGAAUGCGGCUCCCGAUCUACAUAUAUCCAUAUAUGUUUGUGCAAAUCAUUCAUGAUCCAGCUUCACUUACAGCAGGAGUGAGUAUAAGGUUUUUUUUUUAAAUAAAUCUUUGCGAUCGCCUUUCCUAAUAAUGUGCUAAACGCACCAAACGCGGCUAAAGUAAACAGGCUCGUCUCUCCACAGAGAGAAGAGAGGGGCGGGGCGAGCAGACCUCAUUUGCAUUUAUAGCAGCCUCGACCAGAAUGGGAUGAUUUUUGCAGAGCUGAUUUUGACAAGUUAAAAAGGGUGUUGUUUUACACAACCAUUGAGAAUUUUUAACCAAAGUAUAUUAUAGACUUUUCGUUAAGACCCUAAAGAAUCAUAUCAACUUGUGGAAAAUGGGCAUCCGAUGACCCCUUUUAAGUACCCCUGAGAGUUUAAAAUACAUGUUUUAAUAAUCAUCACAUUUGCAUGUUCACGGUUCUCUGACAUUGGUUAAUGGUCAUAUGGCUUGCAGGUAAACAUAAAAUAUUUCAUCUUUUUCAGUAAGUCUGUUAUCUUGAUUAUUUUAAAAGGGCUUAUUUUAAG